CUUGUUCUAACUUUGCAAUAGUGUUGCUCUACUGUAUAAAAACUACGCUGAACUCCAUAGAUUUCUGAGCGAACUUGAAUCAACAUAAGGGAAUAUCAAAAUGAUAUCCGAAUUCAUGCAUUGUUACGGAAAAUGAAUAUAGCCAAAAUGGAGAUCAUUAUCAACAUAAGGUGCUCAUUAUCACAACAGUCGUACAUGCUUUAACCUGUCAAAUAUGUACUGUCAUGAACAAAGAAAAAAAUGUAUUUGAUUUGCCAUGGACCUGCUUGAAAUCGAAGAUAUGGAUGAUGGUGCAGCACACAAAUCAAAUUAGCAUCACAGCUUAAACCGAGGUCUGUCUACGAUCAGUCUGAAACUCGACUCGAUAGGCUCAAUAUACACAAUGAAACACAAGUUUCAGUGAGAUUCUCAGAUUCACACAGGAAAGUUCCUUGGAACUUUAACUGGAAAAAGGAUCAAAGUUGAACAUGAACUGGGAAAACAUUCUAAAAGUUCAGACUGGGCAUGCUAGCCUGCUGCUGUUGAAAACUGCCUGUAUAACCAGGCCAGAAACAACAACCAAAACAGGGGAUUACAUCCAGUGAUUAGCUUUCAUCAAGGGGACAAAUACCUCUGGUGUAGCCGCUGCAGGCGCCAUUUGUACGGCUCGACCGAUGUUCUUGAGAUAAUGUCGAGCUAGAUGGGGAUGGAGGUGAUGGUAAUGUCGAGCUAGAUGGGGAUGGAGGUGAUGGCAAUGGACCACGAUCUAUCUAAUUAUCUGAUUUUGGCACAAUCGAUUCAAAACACUCAGAAACUGGAGUACAUGUCGACAUAGUUGAUGACAUAGGUGAUGGCUCCAGAACACUUGAUUCAGAAAUUUUUGCUGUUUUUGAAGGUCGGUUAUCAAAGUCCUCUUCAAUGUUCUGUGUAAUAUUAAGUUACAGUGUUGUCAUCUAUUUUCUGCAAUCACAACAAAAAUAAAAGGUAAACCUCCAACCGUUAGAAGCAUCAUCUGACAGUAGCUUUGUUUAAAGGAGAGAUAAAAAUUACAAUCCAGUAUGUAAAAGGCAAAAGUAUAUAGAGAUAAAAAUUACCAAUACAUAUGUGCAUGUUUAAAAAUUCUAGAAUGAGAAAGUAAAUCAUAUCAGCAAAUGUGGUCUACCACACAGCAUAAAGGACCUCAGUUGAUUAAGUAGCUAUAUAUGCGCAUGUCAAAAUAUUCUAG
This 1204-nucleotide long non-coding RNA is filed under the name Triticum aestivum (bread wheat). RNAcentral describes it as "long non-coding RNA (TAES_LNC004021)". Lineage: Eukaryota; Viridiplantae; Streptophyta; Magnoliopsida; Poales; Poaceae. The record is from RNAcentral.